UUGGACAAUGGCUAAAUCAUUGGAUAUAGUUGCUUGAAUAAUCAUCCUUGUUUGUUGCAUUGGGUAUCAUUUCUUUUAUUAUUGUUCUCAUCUUUGCUCGUCGCCAUUUUCUGCAAAUCCAUUGUGUUCUGUUCAAUAUUCUUUUCUGCUCGCUGUUGUUAUGGACUCAUGUUUUCAUCUUGCUGCUGUUUUCAUCCAUUUCAUUCUCAUUGUGAGUUAGGUUACCUUCAAUCUUCAGAUUAAGAUUAUAUGUUUGUUUGAUUAAUUUCAAUAGAUUAUUAUGAUCAUCUGCCGUUUCAAAUUCAGAUUGUAAUUAGAUGACCUAAUAAAUUCAUAUUAUAAUUAGUUGUAGUAAUAAGUUCCUAUUGUAAUUUAGAUUGUAGAUAUUCUUUGACUAACUCUAUCAAAUUAUGUAUCUAUUCAUAAAUCAAUGCAAUACUCAUAUGAUGUGUUUCUUUUGUUGUCACUUCUCUUGUCAUGACUAGUUGAUGUCUCUUAUUUACUCAAUUUUCUUUUUACACGAUGUUUCAGGUUUUUGUGAUAAAAAAUGUUGAAUAAUGAAUGUGAUAAACCCAAUCUAGGAUGUGUGCAUUUGCUAGUACACUUUGAUGGUACACUCAUUGUCUGAUAAUGGACAUGAGAGAAUAACAACGAUUGAUAACCCCUCAUUGAGAAGAGACAAUAUCAAAGUCUUUUUUAGUAACAAUAAUAAUGUUAAGCUAGUAAGGUUAUAGUUUAUAUCUAUUUUAAGAGACCUUAGGGAUGUUACCGUCAAAUGUAAAAUUAGAAGGAUGUUUAACGGUUUAAUUAACGAUGUUAAGUUCAUAAGGGAGGGUUUUGUAUAUUUUAAGAGACC
Molecule: long non-coding RNA, 856 nt
Filed under: Medicago truncatula (barrel medic)
Lineage: Eukaryota; Viridiplantae; Streptophyta; Magnoliopsida; Fabales; Fabaceae
Description: long non-coding RNA (MTRU_LNC006141)
Source: RNAcentral